AUUGAACGUUGGCGGCAGGCCUAAAACAUGCAAGUCGAACGGUAACAGCGAGAGCUUGCUCUCGGCUGACAAGUGGCGAACGGGUGAGUAACACGUAGGAAUCUACCCAAUAGUGGGGGACAACCCGGGGAAACCCGGGCUAAUACCGCAUACGCCCUCUUAUCGAAAGAUAAGGGAGGAAAGCGGGGGAUCUUCGGACCUCGCGCUAUUGGAGGAGCCUGCGUCGGAUUAGCUAGUUGGUAGGUAAAGGCCUACCAAGGCGACGAUCCGUAGCUGGUCUGAGAGGACGAUCAGCCACACUGGAACUGAGACACGGCCCAGACUCCUACGGGAGGCAGCAGUGGGGAAUCUUGCGCAAUGGGCGAAAGCCUGACGCAGCGACGCCGCGUGA
RNAcentral lists this ribosomal RNA (391 nucleotides) under uncultured bacterium. Its description in RNAcentral is "bacterial SSU rRNA". It matches the Rfam family "Bacterial small subunit ribosomal RNA", at positions 29 to 404 of the family's 1533-position model. The record is from RNAcentral.